AAGAACAUGACCCACGAACCAUGAAAAAUGGCCUAGCCUGGGAUAUUGAUAAUUUCUGUAUAUAAUAAUCUUCGGGAUAUAGGCUUUCUAGAAAUGUUUUUCUUUUUUUCAUAUAUUCUAUACUUUUUUGUUAAUAUGACGUUGAAUAUUGUGGUAUUUAAUGUUAAAAAAUUAACAUUUCGGGAUACACGUCACAACAAUAAACCUCCAAUGACCAUGUACAAUGUACAUGAACCUAUAAAUCUCUGAAUUUAUCAAGUUAUAUGCACUCAAAUAGCUAGAAUGGCUUAUUCAAUGAUCAUAAUAAGCAUUUUUGACCAAAUUUGGGAAAUAGAAAUAAGAAAUAUUUUGGAAAUGAUGUUCAAAGCCGUGAUUGUUCAACUUUACUUUUAAAUUAUUUUUACUUGAAUUUUAAAAUACUGAAAUAAGAAGAAUAAAUAUAGUAUGUAGUUUAUUUACAUGGUGGAAGAAGUGAAUCAUUGGAACAAUUCUGUUUCAUAUCAUAUUCCAUAGUUUUGGGUUUUUUUGUUUUCUUUCUUUCUUUUUUUUUUUUAGUAUUAAAACGACCGAGUAUCGAAAGCAAUGGUAACGAAAUAAGUUGACACCGCGUCUCGUCAAAACAUGUUCAAUUCGAAUUUACUCGGAAUUACACGUUCAACGAGCAUUUGCUGUGAAACCUGAUUAAAGGAAAAUUACUGUAGACACCUAAUAGUGAUUUGUACAGAAGCGAGCGCCGGCAGGAAUGAUGGCCUCUUUUGAAAUGAAGAUUUCAUGCCUUACUCCUACUGGUACUACAACUAACUUUGGACCUGGUCACUCGCAGAUACAGCAUGAAGUGUGCCCUCUUGAUGUACAUGGGGAUGGGAGUGAUACAGAAGGGGGACUAAUUGGAAGAACUGCUGCUGCUGCUGGUGGUGCUGGACUGUCUUGAAUCUGUUGCCUAACCAACUUGAUAUUCUUCUGUUUAAUAUGGGAGCAACACACACACUCUGGCAUAUAUUGCACAGAAAAUCAUGAUCAGAUGGUGCCCUCCCUAUCAGAGUGGUGAUCACUGACCUAUAUUUCUUUGAAAUCCUGGAUCUGUGUUUUGGUUUUACUCUCCAUGGACAGUUGAAGCAGAGAAAUAAUUAGGGACCACUCCUUGGCAUAUCUGGAAUAUUUAUGUCGUAUACAUGUAAUUAAAAUAUACAAUUUGGGUUGGAUGAAAAUCUUAUCUUCAUGUUAAAACCCAUUAGCCUAGGUUAUUUUUCCUAAAAUCUAAUUAUAAAUCAAUUAACUUGUUAAUUAAUGCUUGGUGAAUCAAUUAAUAAAUUGUAUUCAAAAACUUGGAAUUAUUUUUUUUUCCACUAAUAAACUGAAAAUGUGCAUC
This is a long non-coding RNA of Ostrea edulis (European flat oyster), 1369 nucleotides long. RefSeq lists it as uncharacterized. The record is from RefSeq and is a predicted model, not a curated record. The transcript has 2 exons. Lineage: Eukaryota; Metazoa; Mollusca; Bivalvia; Ostreida; Ostreidae.